This 603-nucleotide long non-coding RNA is filed under the name Fragaria vesca (wild strawberry). Its description in RNAcentral is "long non-coding RNA (FVES_LNC002111)". The record is from RNAcentral. Lineage: Eukaryota; Viridiplantae; Streptophyta; Magnoliopsida; Rosales; Rosaceae.
CACUCACUACAAACAAGCUAGUUGUACGAAGAGCAGAAAUGGGAGCCUUGGGAAAGCCAAGGCCUUCUUCGCUCAUCAUUACCAUGUUUUAUUGUUUGACAUUCUGCUUCUUAGCUACUACUAGUGUUCAUGCUACUAUUCCUCUUUUACCUCCCAUAAUCCUACCUCCUAUUCCCAAGCUACCUCCUAUUCCCAUCCUACCUCCUUACAAGUCAUCACCACCUCCGCCACAGCCCAAGUCUUCACCACCUCCGCCUUCACCACCUCCGCCACAGCCCAAGUCUUCACCACCUCCGCCACCUCCGCCUUCACCACCUCCGCCACAGCCUAAGUCUUCACCACCUCCGCCACCUCCGCCUUCACCACCUCCGCCUUCACCACCUCCGCCUUCACCACCUCCGCCACCUCCGCCUUCACCACAGCCUAAGUCUUCACCACCUCCGCCACCGCCCAACUCAUCACCACCUCCGCCACCCUCACCCUCACCUCUACCUCCUUACAAGUCACCACCACCACCAUCUCCAUCACCAUCUCCAUCACAAUCUCUACCAUCUCUAUCACCACCAUCUCCAUCACCAUCUCUAUCACCAUCUCCAUCACCAU